UGGGCGCAGGAGAUUUGAGGAGAGCUUUCCCUAGUACGAGAGGACCGGGAAGGACGGACCUCUAGUGUACCGGUUGUUUCGCCAGAAGCACCGCCGGGUAGCUAUGUCCGGAUGUGAUAAGCGCUGAAAGCAUCUAAGCACGAAGCCAACUCCAAGAUUAGAUCUCCCAAAAUGACUUCGGUCAGGAGUAAGGGCCCAGGUAGACUACCUGGUGGAUAGGCCGCAAGUGGAAGUCCGGUAACGGAUGUAGCUGAGCGGUACUAAUAGCCCGAGGACUUGACCCACA
This 286-nucleotide ribosomal RNA is filed under the name Dehalococcoidia bacterium. Its description in RNAcentral is "partial 23S ribosomal RNA". It matches the Rfam family "Bacterial large subunit ribosomal RNA", at positions 2648 to 2925 of the family's 2925-position model. Lineage: Bacteria; Bacillati; Chloroflexota; Dehalococcoidia. The record is from RNAcentral.